AAAUAUGUACAAAACCAUCCACAUCUUUUAUCGUUUCACCUUUUUUUUUAUGUCCUUCUUUUAAAGUGAUGGUUUUUAUAUAGGCGUCAGCUUUUCUAAUCAUACAAAAGAAUCAGUAGUGUACAGAUUUGUUUUAACUUUUUAUUUUGAGUACAAAAAAUUACAGCUUACGCCUUGAGCAUUUCCGGAUCACUAUAUCGAAUACAAUGCUCCACAACGCGACCUGUAUGAAAAAAAAAUCCUUGCAAAAAAACAGGCGUAGUCUUCAAAGUUUACACUCUAGCGCAUCCGUUGGUAAUCGUGACAAUGGAUUUUCUUUACUAACAAUUGUCUUCAAUAACAUUGGGCCAUUAGAAUUUUCAAAAUUUAAAAAUGUUGCGGUGUCUUGGACGCCAUCCUGAAAAAAUUUGAUUUUAUGUGAAUAUGUUGCAAGCCCUACGCACAUGACGUUUUGAAAUUAAACGUGAAGGUUUAAAACAUUUGAAAAUGGCGUUAAAGUUUUGUCGUUUCCAAAAAUGAAAACAUUUUUAUCUUCUGUUAAACCUACGAAAAUCUACGAACACAUGGCAUGGUAUUGUCAUUACAAAUCAUGCCAACUCAAACGUACAGGUCUACUGAAAGGUAAUACCGAUGAUGCAUGAAUAGUGACUUGCUUUAGUUUCAUAAUUUUUUCAAUUUCUAUACGAAUUAACUCUCGAGGCACAUAUGCAAAAAAUGUGUUUAGGCAUGCCAUCUGGAAAUGUAAAUGGUUAUCAGAUAUUGCAGAUUUAUUUUUCAUAAGAAUCGAAUAAAAAAAAUGACCAUACUCUAUUCUAAUUUAUUGUCUCUUAUAUAAAAAUUAUUUGUCGCUUACUAUUGUGACUCUGUUUUAUCUUAUUAAUAAACUUUAAACAUUUUCUAGAAUUUAUCAUACGUUGUGUUGUUUUUAGUGAAAGUUAUUGUAGUAAAAGCUUAUGCUUGGGUUUAAGUUUCAUUUUUGAUCGAUGUGAUGUUCGGUGACAAAAAUUUUGACCGUGAAUAACAUAAAUGGAACCAUCAAGUGGGAGUAAAACAAACGUGUUUUCAGUUUCUUGAACAACAAAACCCGUCACAUUAACGAAUUGGGGAUUACGACUUUGAAAUACUGCAAGUAGAGCUCCAUGAAGAUCUGCUACAGCAAGCACUUGACAUUUGAUUAAAAUUGUUUCUUUUGGGAGAAUGGAAUGGAUGUAUUGUAACCAUAAGUGAUGAAGAGAUUUUCCUUCAAUCUCAUAACGAAGAUUAUCUUUUUUGAUAUCUAAAAGUCCUUGACGCUUUAGUUGAGAACGGGAUAAAAUUUUUUUUUUUUUAUUGUCAAUUUUGCGUUCACGGUUUUUUUCAACCUCCUUAGGAUUUGUAUACGUAUCUAAUCAAGACGAUAUAAUUUUUCCCGAUAAUUUUUCGUUUAAACUAAAAUACACUGAAUUUUUCUUCUCUUCCAUUAUGCAAAAUCAAAAAUUUGGAUAGCUUAUUUUUAUCAUACCGAGUUUUUUUCAAUAUCUGUACACUUUCUU
Long non-coding RNA from Hylaeus volcanicus, 1532 nucleotides. RefSeq lists it as uncharacterized. The transcript is spliced from 4 exons. Lineage: Eukaryota; Metazoa; Arthropoda; Insecta; Hymenoptera; Colletidae. The record is from RefSeq and is a predicted model, not a curated record.